AUGGCCGGUCGGGUAGUCGCCCUGGGCGAUCGCUCCAGGGAGGAAAGUCCGAGCAGGAUAGGGCACGGUGAUGGCUAACGGCCACCGGGGCAGAGGCCCUAGGGAAAGUACCACAGAGAACAGACAGCCGAUGGCCGGUCCUGACCAGGACCAGCUCAGGCAAUGGUGAAAAGGUGCGGUAAGAGCGCACCGCGGCGAUGGUGACAUCGCUGGCACGGUAAACCCCACCGCCUGCAAGACCAAGUAGUCUGGCUGGAUCCUCUGUUCGAGGGUCCUGCACCUGGCCCGGGUGAUGCCAGAGGGUAGGUCGCUUGCCGAAUCCCGGCAGAGGUGGCUGGCAACAGCCACCCUAGAGAAAUGACUACCACCUCGCAAGGGGGCACAGAACUCGGCUUAUAGACCGGCCAUCGAU
RNAcentral lists this RNase P RNA (412 nucleotides) under Phycisphaerales bacterium. RNAcentral's name for it is "RNase P RNA component class A". It matches the Rfam family "Bacterial RNase P class A". From Rfam's summary of the family: Ribonuclease P (RNase P) is a ubiquitous endoribonuclease, found in archaea, bacteria and eukarya as well as chloroplasts and mitochondria. Its best characterised activity is the generation of mature 5'-ends of tRNAs by cleaving the 5'-leader elements of precursor-tRNAs. The record is from RNAcentral. Lineage: Bacteria; Pseudomonadati; Planctomycetota; Phycisphaerae; Phycisphaerales.